RNAcentral lists this ribosomal RNA (378 nucleotides) under uncultured bacterium. RNAcentral describes it as "bacterial SSU rRNA". It matches the Rfam family "Bacterial small subunit ribosomal RNA", at positions 32 to 338 of the family's 1533-position model. The record is from RNAcentral.
AACGCUGGCGGCGUGCCUAACACAUGCAAGUCGAGCGAUUCUCUUCGGAGAAGAGCGGCGGACGGGUGAGUAACGCGUGGGUAACCUGCCCUGUACACACGGAUAACAUACCGAAAGGUAUGCUAAUACGAGAUGAUAUAUAAAAGUUGCAUGACUUUUAUAUCAAAGCUUUUGCGGUACAGGAUGGACCCGCGUCUGAUUAGCUAGUUGGUAAGGUAACGGCUUACCAAGGCGACGAUCAGUAGCCGACCUGAGAGGGUGAGCCGUUACCCCACCAACUAGCUAAUACAACGCAGGUCCAUCUGAUAGUGGUGCAUUUGCACCUUUCAAUUGACUAUCAUGCAAUAGUCAAUGUUAUGCGGUAUUAGCUAUCGUUUC